Molecule: long non-coding RNA, 2184 nt
Organism: Branchiostoma floridae (Florida lancelet)
Lineage: Eukaryota; Metazoa; Chordata; Leptocardii; Amphioxiformes; Branchiostomatidae
Exons: 3
Source: RefSeq, a predicted model, not a curated record
GCAGUUAUCUUUUUGGCACACAGAAUGUAUGGCAUAGCCUCUCUUACGACUGGAUGAACACAAUGCAGCUGUUGGUUGGCUGUCCCGUUGGCUGACUUUGGACUUGCCCUGAUGGAGCUUGGUUUAAUGACAGCUGUCAUCAGACUCUCCCUGGAUCUUUUUCUGAGGUUGAACUGAGUCAACAUCACUUCCAGUCCACUCCACAGACAUUCAACAGACAUGCACUGUGUCCCUGACUUGUAGUGAUGCUCCCUAAUCACAAAGGACCAAAGACAGUGCACACGACCACAGCAGGCGACCAGUCACACUGUCUGUACCAGGCAGCUUUAUAGUUUAUACCAUGCUUCACAGAGACACCUCCCAUAUCCCCUGGCUCACUUUUCUGGGCUGUUACUUUAUUGGGUGAAAUAUAAUCCAUGGAUGAUUACUGUGCAAGAUACAAAAUGGUGAUAAUGAUCUAGACUGUUAGACCUUGGGCAAGGUUCCGACUUUAUGAGGAUACAGAGGAUCCCAAUUAUGUCUGGUUAGAAUGCCUAUCAUUCUGUAACAGUGUAAGCUGUAACCCCUAUAUAUAUUUAUAUGAUGUCUCUGGUGGCAUGUCUCAAGUUGGUCUGUUUGAUGCCUUCCCAUUUCAAACUUGAAACUGCCCUAAAACUUCCAGACAGGAGGAAUAACUGUGUCAGCAGGGAGGCACAUGAAGGGUUCAUCACAACCAGGUGCUAAUGGCUCCCUGCUGACUCCUACCUCAUUUCAUCCACCUGCACGGCCUAUCAGUCAAACUGCAGGAGGUGCUAAAAACCAUGUAAAUGUUCAAUACACCUAGCAGAUAUAGCCAGAGCAACAAAAUUGCUGGGCCUUGAAAGGAGUAUUAAAAGUGGACAAACUGUGUGUACUUUGUAUGUUGGUACAGUACCAUUGAUAGAUAGAAAACAUGUGUACACUUUGGUCUUUCCUGGGGUUGUUCUGUUUUGAUCUUGUUUUUCUGCUAAUAUCAAUGAAGAACUUUUUACUAAGAUCAUAUUACAUACCUUCUAGUUUUUAAUAAGUUGGGAACUGGUCACACAAAAAAACGUACUGUUUGUAAACAAAUAUCAUUUAUCCUUGCUCACUAAGUUGAUGUUAUUCUUUGUCAAAAUUACAUGUUUUCUGAGCAGAAUAUAAUCGUACUGUCUGGUAGCAGGGAGACAUAUGGGAGUGUAGCAUAAUCCAAUUUUCCAGGCAGGUGCUAGACAAGGUAACACCUUGAAUUUAUGUAAAACUAAUGGCUCUUCAAAUUUUCACAGCAUGCUUAUCCUCUAAUGCAUGUACUUGUACAUGCACAUGCACUAGUGCAUGAGGAUUAAUUUGCUUGGUAUCAUGCAUCCUUGCCUUAUUUUUCAAUUCAGCUCCGACUCUGAAUACACAGAUGGGAAAUGGUAAUGUAGAAUUUCAACAACGAUAUGCAGCCUGUUUAUCAUGCAGUGUACCAUGCAUAUGUUGACAGAAGUUUGCAAUCAGCUUGGUUAUUAAAUGCUAGACUUGAUUAUGAUUGAACGCUGUAAUACAGGAUGAUAUGAGUUAGUUGCUUCAUCAUGCAAUAUUUUUUUACUCAUUGCUUCCAAGAGAAGAGCAUUAAAGCCUACAAGGGAUGUGUUUUUCAUAACCUUUAUCUUUUUUUUUACCAAGUUUGAUAAAUAGAUUUGUAUGCUCAGCUGCAGUCUGCUAGUAUUUUGCCUAACAUCGAAGACAGUGGCAUUUUCAAUUCACAAGUAUAUCUAUAUAUACCUGUACAACCUCUUCAACAGAGCAAGCAAACAAAUUGUAUCCUACAUUGCAAUAUUUAGCGAGCACUCUAAACUCAAUAACCUGUAACGAACAGGUGCUGAAACAGGUGGUUAGCCCUAGGGCAGAUGGGGUAAUAUACCAGCAGCCCCCAUUACACAUGAACCUUUAAUAGUUUCAUAGCCCGGAGAUAUGACUGGGGCAAUCAACACCUAUCAUUGUUCACAGAGUGGUCAAUGAAACUUGUCACUUCACUGAGUUUCCAUUCUCAUAACUUUUCCCUGGCUCAAGGAACUGUUCGAUGUUCCUAUGAUUACAUUGAAUGAAAGCUCUGCUUGAAUCUGAUGUAUGACAACCUGGUAAUAUCAAUAUUUCAACCUAUUCAUGUGAAACUUUUGGUCUAUCACAUGACAUACACCAGAU